GGGCGAUUAGCUCAGCGGGAGAGCGCUUCCCUGACACGGAAGAGGUCACUGGUUCAAUCCCAGUAUCGCGCACUA
Molecule: transfer RNA, 75 nt
Filed under: Corynebacterium sp. LK14
Lineage: Bacteria; Bacillati; Actinomycetota; Actinomycetes; Mycobacteriales; Corynebacteriaceae
Description: tRNA-Val
Rfam family: tRNA
About the family: Transfer RNA (tRNA) molecules are approximately 80 nucleotides in length. Their secondary structure includes four short double-helical elements and three loops (D, anti-codon, and T loops).
Source: RNAcentral